UACUAUAUGGAGUGGCGGAGAAUAAGAAAGGUAUCGAAGUCAAUAUGCAAGUUCUACAUGCUUGUGUGGAUAUACAUUUUCUAGGCUUUAUGAGUAAGUAUAUCCACCAUAAGUUCUUUUUACGAUGCAUCUGAGCUUGCAACUCGCAUCUUGCCAAACAUUGUUGUCCUGGCAGUUGAACCCGCCAGAUGACCUACGACUACAAGUGUACACUAAUCAUGUCCACAUCUCAAUUUAUAUCAAGAUCCGAAUUUGAUUAGCACCACAUAGGCAUUAAUAACAAAGUUCAGUAUAGUAUAUCUCUUUACAAUAUUAAUUUUAUUAUAUUUUGUACUCGUUUACCUUGAUUAAUAUUGUGUUUCUAAUAUCUUAACAGGAACAUAUCACACAUGAUGUUGUUGCGAAGAUGAAGUUAGCUAAGUAUUCUUAUGCGGAUGUGAUUGCAUGUGAGAAUGAACUUCUAAGAAAAAUCAAAGUGUUGGAUAAGCUUUGUAGUUAUCUAGAACUUUUUUGUAUUUUUUUAUUUUAAUAUUGUAUACUUUGAUUUUGUGGAAAUUAUUAUACAAGUUUUUUAUAUGAAAAUAUGUUUUGUA
Molecule: long non-coding RNA, 593 nt
Organism: Salvia splendens (bonfire salvia)
Lineage: Eukaryota; Viridiplantae; Streptophyta; Magnoliopsida; Lamiales; Lamiaceae
Exons: 2
Source: RefSeq, a predicted model, not a curated record